RNAcentral lists this ribosomal RNA (554 nucleotides) under uncultured bacterium. RNAcentral's name for it is "bacterial SSU rRNA". It matches the Rfam family "Bacterial small subunit ribosomal RNA", at positions 46 to 575 of the family's 1533-position model. The record is from RNAcentral.
GCUUAACACAUGCAAGUCGAACGGUAACAGCGAGAGCUUGCUCUCGGCUGACGAGUGGCGGACGGGUCAGAGUAACGCGUAGGAAUCUGCCUAGUAGUGGGGGACAACCCGGGGAAACUCGGGCUAAUACCGCAUACGCCCUACGGGGGAAAGCGGGGGAUCUUCGGACCUCGUGCUAUUAGAUAGAGCCUGCGUCGGAUUAGCUUGUUGGUAGGGUAAAGGCCUACCAAGGCGACGAUCCGUAGCUGGUCUGAGAGGACGAUCAGCCACACUGGGACUGAGACACGGCCCAGACUCCUACGGGAGGCAGCAGUGGGGAAUAUUGCACAAUGGGCGCAAGCCUGAUGCAGCAAUGCCGCGUGUAGUGAAGAAGGCCUGCGGGUUGUAAAGCACUUUCAAUUUGGGCAAGAACAAGUUCAGGGUUAAUACCCCCUGAACCUUGACGUUACCUUUAGAAGAAGGCAACCGGCUAACUCCGUGCCAGACAGCCGGCGGUAAUUACGGAGGGGUGCAAGCGUUAAUCGGAAUUACUGGGCGGUAAAAGCGCGCGUAGG